UGAGCAAUCUGCCCUUCUCUUCGGAAUAAGCGUUGGAAACGACGUCUAAUGCCGAAUACGACCUCCUUUCGCAUGAUCGGAGGUGGAAAGCUCCGGCGGAGAAGGAUGAGCUCGCGGCCUAUCAGCUAGUUGGUGUGGGUAAUGGCCCACCAAGGCGACGACGGGUAGCCGGCCUGAGAGGGUGACCGGCCACACUGGGACUGAGACACGGCUCAGACUCCUACGGGAGCAG
Molecule: ribosomal RNA, 232 nt
Filed under: uncultured bacterium
Lineage: Bacteria
Description: partial 16S ribosomal RNA
Rfam family: Bacterial small subunit ribosomal RNA
Source: RNAcentral